CACUCCUACGGGAGGCAGCAGUGGGGAAUAUUGCACAAUGGGCGCAAGCCUGAUGCAGCCAUGCCGCGUGUAUGAAGAAGGCCUUCGGGUUGUAAAGUACUUUCAGCGGGGAGGAAGGCGAUAAGGUUAAUAACCUUGUCGAUUGACGUUACCCGCAGAAGAAGCACCGGCUAACUCCGUGCCAGCAGCCGCGGUAAUACGGAGGGUGCAAGCGUUAAUCGGAAUUACUGGGCGUAAAGCGCACGCAGGCGGUCUGUCAAGUCGGAUGUGAAAUCCCCGGGCUCAACCUGGGAACUGCAUUCGAAACUGGCAGGCUAGAGUCUUGUAGAGGGGGGUAGAAUUCCAGGUGUAGCGGUGAAAUGCGUAGAGAUCUGGAGGAAUACCGGUGGCGAAGGCGGCCCCCUGGACAAAGACUGACGCUCAGGUGCGAAAGCGUGGGGAGCAAACAGGAUUAGAAACCCUAGUAGUCCCA
RNAcentral lists this ribosomal RNA (472 nucleotides) under uncultured organism. RNAcentral describes it as "partial 16S ribosomal RNA". It matches the Rfam family "Bacterial small subunit ribosomal RNA", at positions 334 to 797 of the family's 1533-position model. The record is from RNAcentral.